GACGAACGCUGGCGGCGUGCUUAACACAUGCAAGUCGAGCGAUGAAGCUCCUUCGGGAGUGGAUUAGCGACGGACGGGUGAGUAACACGUGGGUAACCUGCCUCAUAGAGGGGAAUAGCCUUUCGAAAGGAAGAUUAAUACCGCAUAAGAUUGUAGCUUCGCAUGAAGCAGCAAUUAAAGGAGUAAUCCGCUAUGAGAUGGACCCGCGUCGCAUUAGCUAGUUGGUGAGGUAACGGCUCACCAAGGCGACGAUGCGUAGCCGACCUGGAAGGGUGAUCGGCCACAUUGGGACUGAGAAACGGCCCAGACUCCUACGGGAGGCAGCAGUGGGGAAUAUUGCACAAUGGGGGAAACCCUGAUGCAGCAACGCCGCGUGAGUGAUGACGGUCUUCGGAUUGUAAAGCUCUGUCUUCAGGGACGAUAAUGACGGUACCUGAGGAGGAAGCCACGGCUAACUACGUGCCAGCAGCCGCGGUAA
RNAcentral lists this ribosomal RNA (478 nucleotides) under uncultured bacterium. RNAcentral describes it as "partial 16S ribosomal RNA". It matches the Rfam family "Bacterial small subunit ribosomal RNA", at positions 28 to 523 of the family's 1533-position model. The record is from RNAcentral.